RNAcentral lists this ribosomal RNA (237 nucleotides) under uncultured bacterium. Its description in RNAcentral is "partial 16S ribosomal RNA". It matches the Rfam family "Bacterial small subunit ribosomal RNA", at positions 99 to 334 of the family's 1533-position model. The record is from RNAcentral.
CGAACGGGUGAGUAACGCGUGAGGAACCUGCCUCAAAGAGGGGGACAACAGUUGGAAACGACUGCUAAUACCGCAUAAGCCCACGGGUCGGCAUCGAUCUGAGGGAAAAGGAGUGAUCCGCUUUGAGAUGGCCUCGCGUCCGAUUAGCUAGUUGGUGAGGUAAUGGCCCACCAAGGCGACGAUCGGUAGCCGGACUGAGAGGUUGAACGGCCACAUUGGGACUGAGACACGGCCCAG